Molecule: ribosomal RNA, 254 nt
Filed under: uncultured bacterium
Lineage: Bacteria
Description: partial 16S ribosomal RNA
Rfam family: Bacterial small subunit ribosomal RNA
Source: RNAcentral
CACGUAGGGGGCAAGCGUUGUCCUGAUUUAUUGGGCGUAAAGAGCUCGUAGGCGGUUCGGUAAGUCGGGUGUGAAACCUCCAGGCUCAACCUGGAGAUGCCACCUGAUACUGCUGUGACUCGAGUCCGGUAGGGGAGCGUGGAAUUCCUGGUGUAGCGGUGAAAUGCGCAGAUAUCAGGAGGAACACCAGCGGCGAAGGCGGCGCUCUGGGCCGGAACUGACGCUGAGGAGCGAAAGCGUGGGUAGCAAACAGG